RNAcentral lists this long non-coding RNA (534 nucleotides) under Setaria viridis. Its description in RNAcentral is "long non-coding RNA (SVIR_LNC000776)". Lineage: Eukaryota; Viridiplantae; Streptophyta; Magnoliopsida; Poales; Poaceae. The record is from RNAcentral.
GCCUCGACAUCGAACGCAUCCCCACGCAACAGCCCAUCGACCAUGACCUAGUGCGUGCAUCGAUCUUAUCACCACUGCAGCUUUGUUUCACCCCAUACUUUAGCCCUCAAUUACACUUUCAACCUCUAUCUCUUAAGGUGACAGGUGGGCCCAAUCUGCUGCGUCGUCAGUUCUCCCUCUCUCCCGGGGCGCGGAGCUGCGCAAGCUUUCCUCCUUAAUACCCGUCUCACCCCUUCCACGACAGUUGCUAUGCUCUCCUCUUCACCGACCUCCUAUAUUGGACCAGCGUCCCAUCUAUACCGGUGACAGUGUAUUAGUGAGUCGAAUCAUCUUCGGCCAUACGUCCCGAUGACAUUUAGUCACCCGCACUUGUAGUGAUGAUUGAUGGUGUGAUGGGGAUAACAGGGAGGAAGAACGACCCGAACCAUGCUAAUAUCAUAUUCCCUCCAUCCUAAAUUAUAAGUCACUUUGGAUUUUCUAGAUUCACAUAUUUUACCAUGCAUCUAGAUAUAGUUCCUCCGUUCCAAAUUGUAG